Molecule: non-coding RNA, 86 nt
Filed under: human gut metagenome
Description: yjdF RNA
Rfam family: azaaromatic riboswitch aptamer (yjdF RNA)
Source: RNAcentral
CAGAGAUAAAAACACAGUCCGGUUGGUAGUCCGGGCGUCCUGCUCAGGAUCAGUAACCUGCCUCCUUGGUUGUCCCUUCUUUGUGU